This 855-nucleotide ribosomal RNA is filed under the name uncultured Thermoplasmatales archaeon. RNAcentral describes it as "bacterial SSU rRNA". It matches the Rfam family "Archaeal small subunit ribosomal RNA", at positions 1 to 863 of the family's 1478-position model. Lineage: Archaea; Methanobacteriati; Thermoplasmatota; Thermoplasmata; Thermoplasmatales. The record is from RNAcentral.
UCUGGUUGAUCCUGCCGGCGAUCACCGCUAUUGGAAUCCGCUUAAGACAUGCGAGUCGAGAGGGUUUAGACCCUCGGCAUACUGCUCAGUAACACACGGAUAAUCUACCCUAAGGUGGGGGAUAACCUCGGGAAACUGAGGAUAAUACCCCAUAGGUCAUGGAUGCUGGAAUGCUUCAUGGCCCAAAGUUCCGGCGCCUUAGGAUGAGUCUGCGGCCUAUCAGGUUGUAGUGGGUGUAACGGACCCACUAGCCGACGACGGGUACGGGCGUUGGGAGACGUCGCCCGGAGUUGGAUUCUGAGACACGAAUCCAGGCCCUACGGGGCGCAGCAGUCGCGAAAACUUGUCAAUGAGGGAAACCUCGAACAGGGGAGUCCAAGUGCAUGCGUUUUACGUAUGCUUUUCGGCUGCCUAAAAAGCAGUCGGAAUAAGGGCUGGGUAAGACAGGUGCCAGCCGCCGCGGUAAUACCUGCAGCCCAAGUGGUGACCGAUAUUAUUGAGCCUAAAGCGUCCGUAGCCGGUUUGGUAAAUCCUCGGGUAAAUCGAGCAGCUUAACUGUUCGAACACCGGGGAGACUGCCAGACUUGGGACCGGGAGAGGCCAGAGGUACUUCAGGGGUAGGGGCUAAAUCCUGUAAUCCUUGAAGGACCACCAGUGGCGAAGGCGUCUGACUAGAACGGAUCAGACGGUAAGGGACGAAACCCUGGGGCGCAAACCGGAUUAGAUACCCGGGUAGUCCAGGGCGUAAACGCUGCAGGCUUGGUGUUGGGGACCCUACGAGGGUGCUCAGUGCCGGAGUGAAGAUGUUAAGCCUGCCGCUUGGGGAGUACGUCCGCAAGGAUGAAACUUAAAGGA